Molecule: ribosomal RNA, 477 nt
Filed under: uncultured bacterium
Lineage: Bacteria
Description: partial 16S ribosomal RNA
Rfam family: Bacterial small subunit ribosomal RNA
Source: RNAcentral
GAUUAACGCUGGCGGCGUGCAUAACACAUGCCAGUCGAACGAUGAAACUUUAAUGAACCCUUCGGGGAGAAUUAAAGCGGAUUAGUGGCGAACGGGUGGGUAACGCGUGAGUAACCUGCCUUACACAAGGGGAUAGCCUUUGGAAACGAAGAAUAAUACCCUAUAAAACCAUAAAAGCACAUGCAAUUAUGGUCAAAGUGAUAGCGGUGUAAGAUGGACUUGCGUCUGAUUAGCUAGUUGGUGAGAUAAAAGCCCACCAAGGCAACGAUCAGUAGCCGGCUUGAGAGAGUGUACGGCCACAUUGGGACUGAGACACGGCCCAGACUCCUACGGGAGGCAGCAGUGGGGAAUUUUGCACAAUGGGGGAAACCCUGAUGCAGCGACGCCGCGUGAUUUAGAAGGCCUUCGGGUUGUAAAAAUCUUUUGUAUAGGAAGAAAAUGACAGUACUAUACGAAUAAGGUCCGGCUAAUUACGUG